GACGAACGCUGGCGGCGUGCUUAACACAUGCAAGUCGAACGAAGAGCGACGGAAGCUUGCUUCUAUCAAUCUUAGUGGCGAACGGGUGAGUAACGCGUAAUCAACCUGCCCUUCAGAGGGGGACAACAGUUGGAAACGACUGCUAAUACCGCAUACGAUCUAAUCUCGGCAUCGAGGAUGGAUGAAAGGUGGCCUCUACAUGUAAGCUAUCACUGAAGGAGGGGAUUGCGUCUGAUUAGCUAGUUGGAGGGGUAACGGCCCACCAAGGCGAUGAUCAGUAGCCGGUCUGAGAGGAUGAACGGCCACAUUGGGACUGAGACACGGCCCAGACUCCUACGGGAGGCAGCAGUGGGGAAUCUUCCGCAAUGGACGAAAGUCUGACGGAGCAACGCCGCGUGAGUGAUGACGGCCUUCGGGUUGUAAAGCUCUGUUAAUCGGGACGAAAGGCCUUCUUGCGAAUAGUGAGAAGGAU
Molecule: ribosomal RNA, 472 nt
Filed under: Veillonella parvula
Lineage: Bacteria; Bacillati; Bacillota; Negativicutes; Veillonellales; Veillonellaceae
Description: bacterial SSU rRNA
Rfam family: Bacterial small subunit ribosomal RNA
Source: RNAcentral